RNAcentral lists this long non-coding RNA (217 nucleotides) under Gossypium barbadense (sea-island cotton). Its description in RNAcentral is "long non-coding RNA (GBAR_LNC022915)". Lineage: Eukaryota; Viridiplantae; Streptophyta; Magnoliopsida; Malvales; Malvaceae. The record is from RNAcentral.
GAAAAUAUGAUAGGCUAAUUUAAAAUGGUCUAUUAAUGCAUAUUGUGAAAAUGAUGGGUUUGCAUGUCAAAUUACCCAAAAUUUGAGCUAGUGGUUGGCCAUGCUAUGGUUGGAAACAUGUUGGGAACAUGUUGGCCUAGUGAGGUAUGUAGGAAAAAAAUAAAAUAAGGGGCAUGGGCAUAAAAUAAUGAAAAGGAGUAUGAUGGAUACAAAAAAA